RNAcentral lists this long non-coding RNA (690 nucleotides) under Felis catus (domestic cat). Its description in RNAcentral is "lncRNA (ENSFCAG00000047165.1)". Lineage: Eukaryota; Metazoa; Chordata; Mammalia; Carnivora; Felidae. The record is from RNAcentral.
CCUUGGGCCAGCGGGUGGUGGAGAGCAGCCCGGCCUUGAGCUUAAGGGUUUUAUUCUCUUGGGAAUCUGUUAUCUCUCGUCAGCCCGGGUUGGUCCACCUGUUCAAUGGCCCCAACAUCGGAACUCGUCGACAGGGGCAGAGAGGCACUUGGGCCCUUUGGACGCCGACACUGUUGGACAAGGUGGAGGCAAAGCCAGCCGGCGGCAGCUUUUAAAGGAAUUGAGAUGGAUUUCUGGACCGUCGGACACGCGUGGAACUCGGACGUUUGGUGCAGCUCCGGAUGGAGCUCUAGAAGUUAGUGCUGGGGGCGGUGGAGUUAGGACUUCAACGUGUGAAUUUUGUGGGACACAACGCAUCCCCUGGCAGCAAAGACCACAGCCAACGUCAUACCAUAGCGACUUAGGUGAGUGCCUUGUUGCUUCACGAGGCGAGCAGAGACUGCGUCCAAUUCAGCCCUGUGUCCAGCUCAGCACUUUUAAGGGGACGCGCCCACUUCUGGGCAAGUCCAGACCUUAAAGCCGAGGUAGCCAAGUGGUCACCCUGUGUAGGGGGAAGAUGAGUGCCAUCUUUUUGCUCCUUCGUGUCAUGAAACAGAGGAGCACAGCCAGUGUCUCUGCCUCAGCCAGAGGGGGAUCUCAGGAAGCUUGAGGAGCUGGGGGGGGCGCUUUGGGUGAGGUCUAGGGUCAGCG